This 414-nucleotide ribosomal RNA is filed under the name bacterium Ellin5271. RNAcentral describes it as "bacterial SSU rRNA". It matches the Rfam family "Bacterial small subunit ribosomal RNA", at positions 29 to 486 of the family's 1533-position model. The record is from RNAcentral. Lineage: Bacteria; Pseudomonadati; Pseudomonadota; Alphaproteobacteria; Hyphomicrobiales; Nitrobacteraceae.
AGCGAACGCUGGCGGCAGGCUUAACACAUGCAAGUCGAGCGGGCGUAGCAAUACGUCAGCGGCAGACGGGUGAGUAACGCGUGGGAACAUACCUUUUGGUUCGGAACAACACAGGGAAACUUGUGCUAAUACCGGAUAAGCCCUUACGGGGAAAGAUUUAUCGCCGAAAGAUUGGCCCGCGUCUGAUUAGCUAGUUGGUGAGGUAAUGGCUCACCAAGGCGACGAUCAGUAGCUGGUCUGAGAGGAUGAUCAGCCACAUUGGGACUGAGACACGGCCCAAACUCCUACGGGAGGCAGCAGUGGGGAAUAUUGGACAAUGGGCGCAAGCCUGAUCCAGCCAUGCCGCGUGAGUGAUGAAGGCCCUAGGGUUGUAAAGCUCUUUUGUGCGGGAAGAUAAUGACGGUACCGCAAGAA